RNAcentral lists this long non-coding RNA (226 nucleotides) under Lathyrus oleraceus (garden pea). RNAcentral's name for it is "Pisum sativum (pea) long non-coding RNA (PSAT_LNC019505)". Lineage: Eukaryota; Viridiplantae; Streptophyta; Magnoliopsida; Fabales; Fabaceae. The record is from RNAcentral.
GAGAGUCUUAUCUGAAAUUGUUUCGUUCAUGUAAUUUUCGAGGGCUAAACUUUUUUAAGUGGGAGAGAGUUGUAACACCGCGAAUUCAAUUAGUUUAUUUAAUUAAUUUUUUGUUAUUUUUAUUUAAUUAUUUAAAUGAUUUAGAAUGUUUUAAUUAUUUAUUUUGGUGAUAAUGUGUGUUAUGGCUAUUUGGCAAUUGUGAGUAUUUUUGGGAGAUUUUAUAGAG